GCCUACGGGGGGCAGCAGUAGGGAAUCUUCCACAAUGGGCGAAAGCCUGAUGGAGCAACGCCGCGUGGGUGAAGAAGGUCUUCGGAUCGUAAAACCCUGUUGUUAGAGAAGAAAGUGCGUGAGAGUAACUGUUCACGUUUCGACGGUAUCUAACCAGAAAGCCACGGCUAACUACGUGCCAGCAGCCGCGGUAAUACGUAGGUGGCAAGCGUUAUCCGGAUUUAUUGCGCGUAAAGGGAACGCAGGCGGUCUUUUAAGUCUGAUGUGAAAGCCUUCGGCUUAACCGGAGUAGUGCAUUGGAAACU
RNAcentral lists this ribosomal RNA (305 nucleotides) under uncultured bacterium. RNAcentral describes it as "bacterial SSU rRNA". It matches the Rfam family "Bacterial small subunit ribosomal RNA", at positions 337 to 634 of the family's 1533-position model. The record is from RNAcentral.